GACGAACGCUGGCGGCGUGCCUAAUACAUGCAAGUCGAACGCUUCUUUCCUCCCGAGUGCUUGCUCUCAAUUGGAAAGAGGAGUGGCGGACGGGUGAGUAACACGUGGGUAACCUACCCAUCAGAGGGGGAUAACACUUGGAAACAGGUGCUAAUACCGCAUAACAGUUUAUGCCGCAUGGCAUAAGAGUGAAAGGCUCUUUCGGGUGUCGUUGAUGGAUGGACCCGCGGUGCAUUAGCUAGUUGGUGAGGUAACGGCUCACCAAGGCCACGAUGCAUAGCCGACCUGAGAGGGUGAUCGGCCACACUGGGACUGAGACACGGCCCAGACUCCUACGGGAGGCAGCAGUAGGGAAUCUUCGGCAAUGGACGAAAGUCUGACCGAGCAACGCCGCGUGAGUGAAGAAGGUUUUCGGAUCGUAAAACUCUGUUGUUAGAGAAGAACAAGGACGUUAGUAACUGAACGUCUCAUGACGGUAUCUAACCAGAAAGCCACGGCUAACUACGUG
Molecule: ribosomal RNA, 508 nt
Filed under: uncultured bacterium
Lineage: Bacteria
Description: partial 16S ribosomal RNA
Rfam family: Bacterial small subunit ribosomal RNA
Source: RNAcentral